Molecule: ribosomal RNA, 466 nt
Filed under: uncultured bacterium
Lineage: Bacteria
Description: partial 16S ribosomal RNA
Rfam family: Bacterial small subunit ribosomal RNA
Source: RNAcentral
GAUGAACGCUGGCGGCGUGCUUAACACAUGCAAGUCGAACGAUGAAGCCCAGCUUGCUGGGUGGAUUAGUGGCGAACGGGUGAGUAACACGUGAGUAACCUGCCCUUGACUCUGGGAUAAGCCUGGGAAACUGGGUCUAAUACUGGAUAUGACUUCUCAUCGCAUGGUGGGGGGUGGAAAGAUUUAUUGGUCUUGGAUGGACUCGCGGCCUAUCAGCUUGUUGGUGAGGUAAUGGCUCACCAAGGCGACGACGGGUAGCCGGCCUGAGAGGGUGACCGGCCACACUGGGACUGAGACACGGCCCAGACUCCUACUGGAGGCAGCAGUGGGGAAUAUUGCACAAUGGGCGCAAGCCUGAUGCAGCGACGCCGCGUGAGGGAUGACGGCCUUCGGGUUGUAAACCUCUUUCAGUAGGGAAGAAGCGAGAGUGACGGUACCUGCAGAAGAAGCGCCGGCUAACUACGUG